GUCGGCUUUUCAAUUGCUUCAAUCAAAUCUCCAAAAGUUGAAACAAACCUGACCUUCUUCUUCCUCAAACUCUUCAUGCUUUCCAUAACCCACAACCACAACUGCAAUUUUGCUUCUCCCACCGAUUUCACUUCCGAAAAAGCUCGCCUGCUAUGCUCCAAGACUUUACCCUUCUCGUCUUUUACAAUCCAAGAGGCUCCCAUGUUCUUACCUCGGCUUGACUAGUCCAUAUCAAACUCACAUUGAACCCAACCAACCGAAACAUUUUGUUCAAAGCUUGGCACUUCAGCACAGCUCACAUUCGCCUCUCUUAACUCCAUUCCAAUCUGAACCUGUUGGGCUAAAAACCAAGAAUCUGCCUCUUCUUUUGCUUUCCUCACUAUUUCAUCUGCCUCAAAAAAUUUCCCUUCAAAC
RNAcentral lists this long non-coding RNA (414 nucleotides) under Brassica napus (rape). RNAcentral describes it as "long non-coding RNA (BNAP_LNC014842)". Lineage: Eukaryota; Viridiplantae; Streptophyta; Magnoliopsida; Brassicales; Brassicaceae. The record is from RNAcentral.